UCAGCCUCCCAAAGUGCUGGCAUUACAGGCGUGGGGAAUUUUGUGACUUUUUUUAAAAACAGGGUGUUUCAACCUCAGCGCUUUUUUCACUGGAGGCUGAAUCAUGUUUUGUGGUGGGAGCUGUUCUGCAUGUUGUAGGAUGUUUGCGAGCAUCCCUAGUCUCUAGUCUCUACUCAGUAAAUGCUCGUAGCAUCAGAUUGUCUCCAG
Long non-coding RNA from Sapajus apella (tufted capuchin), 207 nucleotides. RefSeq lists it as uncharacterized. The transcript is spliced from 3 exons. Lineage: Eukaryota; Metazoa; Chordata; Mammalia; Primates; Cebidae. The record is from RefSeq and is a predicted model, not a curated record.